GUAAUCCCGUGUCCCUUGCCAAUAAUUGAUUCAGGAAUGGACAUAUGAAUUAAUCUGGGCCAACGAUAAGUGAGGAGAUGUUUGCUAAGGACUUCUAAGGACAGUUUUCCUAGUUUGCAGGAUAAAGCUGCGGAAAGAAAUGGCCUUUUCAUCUGGCAUUGUUGUUUAUGGCUUUGAGCCCCAGAACUAUAGCAGCCAUUUAAUUGUCAGGCUGAAGAUGGAGCCAAAGUUUGGUGAGGGGCAGAACCAAGAGAAUAUCAGAGAAAUAGAGUCUAGCCAGCUAGAUUGUGUCAACCCUGAAGACCACCUCACCUCUGGGCAUGGAGAUAACACGUCAAGCUUCUGCAGAAGGCUCCAUGUGUUCUACAGUUUUGACAUAAUGGGACUUCAUUUUCUGUCACAGAAAUAGAAUGUUCUACUGCAAAG
RNAcentral lists this long non-coding RNA (426 nucleotides) under Equus caballus (horse). Its description in RNAcentral is "lncRNA (ENSECAG00000048133.1)". The record is from RNAcentral. Lineage: Eukaryota; Metazoa; Chordata; Mammalia; Perissodactyla; Equidae.